This is a non-coding RNA of Ciona savignyi (Pacific transparent sea squirt), 99 nucleotides long. Lineage: Eukaryota; Metazoa; Chordata; Ascidiacea; Phlebobranchia; Cionidae. The record is from Rfam.
GAAUAUACCCGAUCUCGUCUGAUCUCGGAAGUCAAGCAAUCUCGGGCUUGGUUAGUACUUGGAUGGGUGACCGCUUGGGAAUACCAAGUGUGAUAAGCA